AGUGAACGCUGGCGGUAGGCCUAACACAUGCAAGUCGAACGGCAGCACAGUAAGAGCUUGCUCUUACGGGUGGCGAGUGGCGGACGGGUGAGGAAUACAUCGGAAUCUACUUUUUCGUGGGGGAUGACGUAGGGAAACUUACGCUAAUACCGCAUACGACCUACGGGUGAAAGCAGGGGAUCUUCGGACCUUGCGCGAUUGAAUGAGCCGAUGUCGGAUUAGCUAGUUGGCGGGGUAAAGGCCCACCAAGGCGACGAUCCGUAGCUGGUCUGAGAGGAUGAUCAGCCACACUGGAACUGAGACACGGUCCAGACUCCUACGGGAGGCAGCAGUGGGGAAUAUUGGACAAUGGGCGCAAGCCUGAUCCAGUCAUACCGCGUGGGUGAAGAAGGCCUUCGGGUUGUAAAGCCCUUUUGUUGGGAAAGAAAAGCAGCAGGUUAAUACCCCGCUGUUCUGACGGUACCCAAAGAAUAAGCACCGGCUAACUUCGUG
RNAcentral lists this ribosomal RNA (492 nucleotides) under uncultured bacterium. RNAcentral describes it as "partial 16S ribosomal RNA". It matches the Rfam family "Bacterial small subunit ribosomal RNA", at positions 29 to 507 of the family's 1533-position model. The record is from RNAcentral.